RNAcentral lists this ribosomal RNA (406 nucleotides) under uncultured bacterium. Its description in RNAcentral is "partial 16S ribosomal RNA". It matches the Rfam family "Bacterial small subunit ribosomal RNA", at positions 30 to 526 of the family's 1533-position model. The record is from RNAcentral.
AUUGAACGCUGGCGGCAGGCCUAACACAUGCAAGUCGAACGAGUGGCGGACGGGUGGGUACUGUCUGGGAAACUUCCUGAUGGAGGGGGAUAACUACUGGUAACGGUAGCUAAUACCGCCUACCAUCGGAUGUGCCCAGAUGGGAUUAGCUAGUCGGUGGGGUAAAGGCUCCCCUAGGCGACGAUCCCUAGCUGGUCUGAGAGGAUGACCAGCCACACUGGAACUGAGACACGGGCCAGACUCCUACGGGAGGCAGCAGUGGGGAAUAUUGCACAAUGGGGGCAAGCCUGAUGCAGCCAUGCCGCGUGUAUGAAGAAGGCCUUCGGGUUGUAAAGUACUUUCAGCGGGGAGGCGUUACCUGCAGAAGAAGCACCGGCUAACUCCGUGCCAGCAGCCGCGGUAAUUC